This 891-nucleotide unclassified non-coding RNA is filed under the name Bombus terrestris (buff-tailed bumblebee). Its description in RNAcentral is "misc RNA ENSBTSG00005026410.1". Lineage: Eukaryota; Metazoa; Arthropoda; Insecta; Hymenoptera; Apidae. The record is from RNAcentral.
UGAUCGAAUUACCUUGACUCCCGCGUGGAGAACACAAACGUUUGAGCCGGCUAACGAUUAUCUCUGUCAAACGAACGAGUAGAUGGAGGCUGUUCGAGACAUUGAUCUAUGUCGUUCCUGACAGGAGAGAAAGACAAACAGCGAUCGAAUAGAACAAUCGUUUGAACGUUUCACGAUUAGUGCCGAUCGUGAUAAGAAGAAAGGGAGAAAAAGAGAGGAAAAAGAAAGGGAGAAGGGGACGCGACAGGGACAAACAAGGAGCUGUUUCUAAAGUUCGAACGGUGCCGCGGCUACGCUAGAAAAAAAGAAAGGGGAGCGCAAAGAAGAAAGGACAGCGAGGUGGAAACAGAGCUAGAAAGAAGGAGAGAAAGAGAACAGGGGGCAGGAGGAGGGAUGGAGCGAGUCCCUCUCUAUUGAUUUCCUGCCGAGGGUGGGCCAACGAAGGGAGGAUUAAGUAUCGGCUCUCUCGUUGCUGCUUUUCCCUCUCUGUCUCCCGUUUUCCCCUUUCCCCUUUUUCGCUCCUUUACCGGCUCUGCAGCAAUUCGACCAGCACUUGCCCGAGACGGACAAAGAGGGACGAGAAGAAAGAGCAACGAUCAAGCCGAAAGGAGGAAGAGGAAAGAAACGAAAGAACGAGACGGAAAAAGGAACAAUUCAAUGAACAAUAGCGACAGCACGAUGCGUCAAAGAUGCAACAAGAAUUUCGAUAAGGGCAGCUAAGGAAACGAACGGCGAGUAUCUACCGCAAGGGCUGAACUUUCGAACGAUCUUAUCGAUUUCCAGUGGGAACACGGUCACGCACAGAUGCGCAAAAUGAAUCAAGAAGAAAGGGACGAAACGAUAAUGCACCGUCGUCCACGAUACUGCACCAUUGAUUUAGUAGUGGUUAUC